RNAcentral lists this non-coding RNA (29 nucleotides) under Mus musculus (house mouse). The record is from RNAcentral. Lineage: Eukaryota; Metazoa; Chordata; Mammalia; Rodentia; Muridae.
UUCUAUGUACAAAAGAGUCCUUGGUGGGG